UACAGAGGUCUCAAGCGUUGUUCGGAUUCAUUGGGCGUAAAGGGUGUGUAGGUGGCGCGCUAAGUCGGGUGUGAAAUUUCGGAGCUUAACUCCGAAACUGCAUUCGGUACUGGCGUGCUUGAGGACUGGAGAGGAGACUGGAAUUUACGGUGUAGCAGUGAAAUGCGUAGAUAUCGUAAGGAAGACCAGUGGCGAAGGCGGGUCUCGUGGACAGUUCCUGACACUGAGACACGAAGGCCAGGGGAGCAAACGGG
Molecule: ribosomal RNA, 254 nt
Filed under: uncultured bacterium
Lineage: Bacteria
Description: partial 16S ribosomal RNA
Rfam family: Bacterial small subunit ribosomal RNA
Source: RNAcentral